CCUACGGGAGGCAGCAGUGAGGAAUAUUGGUCAAUGGGCGCGAGCCUGAACCAGCCAAGUAGCGUGAAGGAUGACUGCCCUACGGUUUGUAAACUUCUUUUAUAAAGGAAUAAAGUGAGGCACGUGUGCCUUUUUGUAUUUACUUUAUGAAUAAGGAUCGGCUAACUCCGUGCCAGCAGCCUCGGUAAUACGGAGGAUCCGAGCGUUAUCCGGAUUUAUUUGGUUUAAAGGGAAAGUAGUUGGGUUGUUAAGUCAGUUGUGAAAGUAUGCGGUUCAACCGUAAAAUUGCAAUUGAUACUGGCAGUCUUGAGUACAGUUGAGGUAGGCGGAAUUCGUGGUGUAGCGGUGAAAUGCUUAGAUAUCACGAAGAACUCCGAUUGCGAAGGCAGCUUACUAAACUGCCACUGACAUUGAUGCUCGAAAGUGUGGGUAUCAAACAGGAUUAGAUACCCGUGUAGUC
Molecule: ribosomal RNA, 460 nt
Filed under: uncultured bacterium
Lineage: Bacteria
Description: partial 16S ribosomal RNA
Rfam family: Bacterial small subunit ribosomal RNA
Source: RNAcentral